RNAcentral lists this ribosomal RNA (450 nucleotides) under uncultured bacterium. RNAcentral describes it as "partial 16S ribosomal RNA". It matches the Rfam family "Bacterial small subunit ribosomal RNA", at positions 354 to 796 of the family's 1533-position model. The record is from RNAcentral.
GUGGGGAAUCUUCCGCAAUGGACGAAAGUCUGACGGAGCAACGCCGCGUGAGUGAAGAAGGUUUUCGGAUCGUAAAGCUCUUUCGUCAGGGACGAACGUAUUUCUUGUAAAUAAUGAGAGAUAGUGACGGUACCUGAAUAAGAAGCCACGGCUAACUACGUGCCAGCAGCCGCGGUAAUACGUAGGUGGCAAGCGUUGUCCGGAAUUAUUGGGCGUAAAGCGCGCGCAGGCGGGAUAUCAAGUCUGUCUUAAAAGUGCGAGGCUCAACCUCGUGAGGGGACGGAAACUGGUAUUCUUGAGUGUCGGAGAGGAAAGUGGAAUUCCAAGUGUAGCGGUGAAAUGCGUAGAGAUUUGGAAGAACACCAGUGGCGAAGGCGACUUUCUGGACGAUGUCUGACGCUGAGGCGCGAAAGCUAGGGGAGCGAACGGGAUUAGAUACCCUGGUAGUCC